ACGGCUCAGUAACACGUGGACAACCUGCCCUUAGGUUGGGUAUAAACCCGGGAAACUGGGUAUAAUACCCGAUAGGUCUCGAUUGCUGGAAUGCAUCGAGAUUUAAAGCUCCGGCGCCUAAGGAUGGGUCUGCGGCCUAUCAGGUAGUAGUGGGUGUAGCGUACCUACUAGCCUACGACGGGUACGGGUUGUGAGAGCGAGAGCCCGGAGAUGGAUUCUGAGACACGAAUCCAGGCCCUACGGGGUGCAGCAGGCGCGAAAACUUUACAAUGCUGGCAACAGCGAUAAGGGAACCUCGAGUGCCAGGUUACAAAUCUGGCUGUCGAGAUGCCUAAAAAGCAUUUCAUAGCAAGGGCCGGGCAAGACCGGUGCCAGCCGCCGCGGUAACACCGGCGGCUCGAGUGGUAACCGUUAUUAUUGGGUCUAAAGGGUCUGUAGCCGGCCGGAUAAGUCUCUUGAGAAAUCUGGCAGCUUAACUGUCAGGCUUUCAGGAGAUACUGUCUGGCUCGAGGCCGGGAGAGGUGAGAGGUACUUCAGGGGUAGGGGUGAAAUCUUGUAAUCCUUGAAGGACCACCAGUGGCGAAGGCGUCUCACCAGAACGGACCUGACGGCAAGGGACGAAAGCUAGGGGCACGAACCGGAUUAGAUACCCGGGUAGUCCUAGCCGUAAACGAUACUCGCUAGGUGUCGGCCACGGUGCGACCGUUGUCGGUGCCGUAGGGAAGCCGUGAAGCGAGCCACCUGGGAAGUACGGCCGCAAGGCUGAAACUUAAAGGAAUUGGCGGGGGAGCAC
This 793-nucleotide ribosomal RNA is filed under the name uncultured archaeon. RNAcentral's name for it is "bacterial SSU rRNA". It matches the Rfam family "Archaeal small subunit ribosomal RNA", at positions 85 to 879 of the family's 1478-position model. The record is from RNAcentral.